CCUACGGGCGACAGCAGUGGGGAAUAUUGGGCAAUGGGCGCAAGCCUGACCCAGCAACGCCGCGUGAAGGAAGAAGGCUUUCGGGUUGUAAACUUCUUUUGUCAGGGAAGAGUAGAAGACGGUACCUGACGAAUAUGCCACGGCUAACUACGUGCCAGCAGCCGCGGUAAUACGUAGGUGGCAAGCGUUGUCCGGAUUUACUGGGUGUAAAGGGCGUGUAGCCGGGUUGACAAGUCAGAUGUGAAAUCCUGCGGCUUAACCGCAGAACUGCAUUUGAAACUGUUGAUCUUGAGUACUGGAGAGGCAGACGGAAUUCCUAGUGUAGCGGUGAAAUGCGUAGAUAUUAGGAGGAACACCAGUGGCGAAGGCGGUCUGCUGGACAGCAACUGACGGUGAGGCGCGAAAGCGUGGGGAGCAAACAGGAUUAGAUACCCCAGUAGUC
This 442-nucleotide ribosomal RNA is filed under the name uncultured bacterium. RNAcentral describes it as "partial 16S ribosomal RNA". It matches the Rfam family "Bacterial small subunit ribosomal RNA", at positions 338 to 795 of the family's 1533-position model. The record is from RNAcentral.